GGAAACCCACCCCCCGCCAGAGCCCAGGUCCCGCCGCCCAGCCCUCCCACAGCCACUCCCAGUAGCUAAUCCUUUCUCCCUGUUACUCUCUCCUAGAAUUUUGUAGCCACCUUGGCUAAUGGGAUGAGCCUCCAGCCGCCUCUUGAAGAAGUGUCCUGUGGCCAGGCGGAAAGCAGCGAGAAGCCCAACGCUGAGGACAUGACAUCCAAAGAUUACUACUUUGAUUCCUACGCCCACUUUGGCAUCCACGAGGAGAUGCUGAAGGACGAGGUGCGCACCCUCACAUACCGCAACUCCAUGUUUCAUAACCGGCACCUCUUUAAGGACAAGGUGGUGCUGGACGUCGGCUCGGGCACCGGCAUCCUCUGCAUGUUUGCUGCCAAGGCCGGGGCCCGCAAGGUCAUCGGGAUCGAGUGUUCCAGUAUCUCUGAUUAUGCGGUGAAGAUCGUCAAAGCCAACAAG
Molecule: small RNA, 462 nt
Filed under: Pongo abelii (Sumatran orangutan)
Lineage: Eukaryota; Metazoa; Chordata; Mammalia; Primates; Hominidae
Description: retained intron
Source: RNAcentral